Molecule: long non-coding RNA, 728 nt
Filed under: Homo sapiens (human)
Lineage: Eukaryota; Metazoa; Chordata; Mammalia; Primates; Hominidae
Description: HSALNT0041113
Source: RNAcentral
UUCUUAUUAUUUGCCAUCUUGUCCGUGGGGCUUGAAUAAGAAAGAAGACAACAUUUCUUACAGAAAUUACAUUUAAAAGUUACAUUACAGUAAAGCAAGUAACAGCUUUUUCAGAGAAAACAACUCAUCUGGAAUUUUCAAUAUAAAGAUAAAAUCUUCUUGGAUAGUAUAAAUGGCUCUAUGGACUCACAGCAGAUUGGUACCAAAGACUAUUUUAUUCAUUUUUUCUCAUCUGUCAAGGGUGGUACUUUAACAUGGUCUUAAAAUUUACUCAUCCGGCAUUUUUUGUAUACCUUAAUAAAAAUUAUAUCUUCUAUUUCUAUAUCUUUUGCAAUAGGGAUAAUAUUCAAAUUUAUGAAACUUCUAUAAAUUUGCUUCUUGGUAUUGAUUUCUCAGUGCCUCAAUAUCAUCAGAUAUUUACUUCUAUUUUAUAAUAGUUAUCAUGUUUUAUCUUACUUGUGUGUUUAUAAAUUUCUCUUUCAAUCUUGGCUACAAAUUAAAACCACCUGAGAAGCUUUUAAACUACUGAUGCCUACACUCUGGUUUAAGCUGAGAUUAUUAUUUAAUUAGUCUGAGGUACCAUCUGAGCAACAGUACUUUGGGAAACUUUCCACUUUAUUCUAAUGGAUGGCCAAGUUGAGAAUCACUGCUGUGGACUGUACUAUUAUUGAGGGUAGGGGGCAUGGCUUAUUUACCCUUAUGUUUGCUCAACACUGUGCCUGCCUGUA